CAGCCGGGAGGUUGGCUUAGAAGCAGCCAUCCUUUAAAGAUAGCGUAACAGCUCACCGGUCUAAUAGAGUUUCUGCGCCGAAGAUGUAACGGGGCUAAAAUCACAUACCGAAUCUGUGGGUUUAUAAAGUUUUCGAACUUUAUAAGCGGUAGCGGAACGUUCUGUAAGCCUGUAAAGGGAUACCCGUGAGGGAUCCUGGAGGUAUCAGAAGUGCGAAUGCUGACAUGAGUAACGAUAAAAGAAGUGAAAAACUUCUUCGCCGAAAAUCCAAGGGUUUCUGCGCAAGGUUAAUCCGCGCAGAGUUAGUCGGCCCCUAAGGCGAGGGCGAAAGCCGUAGUCGAUGGAAAUAAGGUUAAUAUUCCUUAACCAGAUGGAAGUGACGGAUUUUGUAAGUUGUAAACUCUUAAUGGAUUGAACUUGCCGUGAAAAAGUCCCAGGAAAUAGCUCCAUCAUUAGACCGUACCCUAAACCGACACAGGUGGAUUAAUAGAGUAUAUUUAGGCGCUUGAGAGAAUGAUGUUGAAGGAACUCGGCAAAAUGCUUCUGUAACUUCGGAAUAAAGAAGACCUUUUUUUGGGCAACCAUUAAGAGGUGGCACAAGCCAGGGAGAAGCGACUGUUUAUCAAAAACACAGGGCUCUGCUAACACGUAAGUGGAUGUAUAGGGUCUGACGCCUGCCCGGUGCUGGAAGGUUAAUGCGAUGGGUGCAAGCUCAUUUCUGAAGCCCCAGUAAACGGCGGCCGUAACUAUAACGGUCCUAAGGUAGCGAAAUUCCUUGUCGGGUAAGUUCCGACCUGCAUGAAUGGCGUAACGAUUUCUCCGCUGUCUCCAACAUCAACUCAGUGAAAUUGAAUUCUCCGUGAAGAUGCGGAGUUCGCGUAGUUAGACGGAAAGACCCCGUGCACCUUUACUGCAACUUUACAUUGGUGUUAGGAAAAACAUAUUUAGCAUAGGAGGGAGACAUUGAAGCAAUGGCGUCAGCUUUUGUGGAGUCACCAGUGAAAUACCUCUUUUGUUUUUCUUGGCAUCUAACUGAUUGCCGUUAUCCGGCAUCAAGACAUUGUAUGGUGGGUAGUUUGACUGGGGCGGUCGCCUCCCAAAUAGUAACGGAGGCGUGCGAAGGUAGGCUCAGAACGGUCAGAAAUCGUUCGUAGAGUGCAAUGGCAUAAGCCUGCCUGACUGUGAGACUGACAAGUCGAGCAGAGACGAAAGUCGGUCAUAGUGAUCCGGUGGUUCUGAGUGGAAGGGCCAUCGCUCAACGGAUAAAAGGUACGCCGGGGAUAACAGGCUGAUACUGCCCAAGAGCUC
This 1308-nucleotide ribosomal RNA is filed under the name marine metagenome. Its description in RNAcentral is "bacterial LSU rRNA". It matches the Rfam family "Bacterial large subunit ribosomal RNA", at positions 1090 to 2501 of the family's 2925-position model. The record is from RNAcentral.